GGCACCGGAAUAAGAACAUUUUCUCCCCGUAUAAACUCGUGUGUUAUUUGGGUUUACACACAGUUUUCCGCCCUAAGAACCAAGCUGCUCUCCUUCAUCCCUCUUUUGCCUCUUGCCCUAUUAUAUGCUCUUCACUCACUUUUUCUAGAGACCCAAGCUAAUGGAGUUGUCUGCACGAUGCCAAUCUUGCGGCGAACGGUCUCUGGUCACUGAUGAAGUUUCUGAAAAUUUAAUCUGCACAUCAUGUGCUGUUGUUCAGGAUUACAACAAUUUUCAGGCCCAUGUUGGUGGUAUUAGUGGCCCGGCUGGCACAUAUGUCCGCACUGGCACAUCAGGCUCUGGCAAUAAUUAUUCGUAUAAAGAAAGCAAAAUAUAUAAAGCUGGGGUUCUUAUUGAUGAUAUUUUGUUCAAAUUGAAUUUUUCUGUUUCAUCGAUAGAUGAGGUUAAAAAAAUGAUUGUGACUAUUACUGAAGGUGAGUAUGGUCAAGGUGAUUGGUUUAGUAUAUUUGUUGGUGCUUGUGCUUAUGUUGUUCGGAGGAAAAAUGGGAACCUUCUGCCGAUGACGGAUGUGGCUGCUGUAGUCUGCUGUGAUACACUGAUACUUAUGAGUUAGGAAGAAUGGUUAAUCGAGUUGUUAGUUUUCUUGACUUGAAGUUGCCUGAAUUUGAUAUUGUUUAUUUGUAUGAAACUACACUUAGAAAUAGCCCGAGCUUUAGCUGCAUUGAAGCUGAGAAAAAGGAGGUGAUGUUAAAACAGGGGGUGUUUUUGGUGCAGUGUUUAAUAAAGUGGUUUGUGACAACGGGGAGAAGGCCAGUGCAGGUUGUAGUGUCAGUGUUGGUAUUUAUUGGACAGUUAAAUCAGUUAAAUGUUAAAAUUGAGGAUUUGGCUAGUGAAUUGAAUGUGCCUGCUGUCACUUGUCGAUUGAGGUACAAGGAGUUGUUAGAGAGGCUUGUGGAGGUUGCAAGAGUGUUGCCAUGGGGAAAAGAUGUUAAUAUAAAGAAUAUUGUGAAAUUUGCACCAUAUGUCAUUCAAUAUAUGGAAAUGAAGUCGAUGGGUAAUGGUCUAAAACAGAUAAAAAAUUCAGAUAAUGUGGGAUUUGACAUUGCUUAUUUUUUGAGUGAUUGUUUGCAGGAAAGAUCAGAUAACAUGAUUGAUUCAUAUAGGUCUUGUGAGGGGGAUGAUUUUUUUUCACACAAUACUGAGCAAGAACAAUCACCUAGUCUGGAUUAUGCUAAUCUGGAUAAGUUUAAUAUUUCACCUGAAUGCUUGAAAAUGAUUUAUUCCAAGUGCAUGGAAGAGGUUUCUGAUUUUCGUUCCACAUCGGAGUUUGGAAAGGAAAAUAGAAAGAGAAGGAAGAGACAUGACAACUACCUUGACUGUACAGACUGGUGGAAAGGCAAGUCAGAACUCAGCAAAAAACUCUCUCUCAAGAAGAUAUUGGAGAAAGAUGUAGGAAUGGAUGUGAUGCCUCCAGCAUUCGUUAAUGGAUGCUUGACAUACCAGAUGAGAAGAGAUAAGAUUGAGGCGGCUAAGGCACGCAUUAAAAACAUCAUGUUUCCAUCGAAUGCUGGUUUACAUGCUGGGUACAGCCAUUGCCUUUCAACAACUGCUAAAAAGGAGAAGAAGAAAAAGAAACGACAUGUAGAUGUUGAUUGGGAAGAUCUUAUAAUUGAAACUCUUCUUCUGCAUCAGGUGAAGGAAGAAGAAAUAGAGAAGGGGUAUUACAAAACCUUGAUGGACUUGCAUGUUUUUAACUCAGGUUGUUUUGAAUGAUCUCAACUGUACGCAGGUAUAUUCAGCUGCAGUGAGACAUCCUGGAAGAGAUUAUGCUGGCGAUAGAUGGAUUCAUCUUUUAUUUGUAAUCGGAGAUUGAUACAUGAACAUGUUUUUUUUUGAUGAUGAGCAUUGAGUGAAAUUAUAAGAUAUAAAUAUAACCGGAGAUUGUGCUUAGACUAAUAUAAUAUAACUUAUCGUAGUAGUUUUAGCUCUCAAUCUGUUGAUCACUUGCCCGUAAUUAAGGUAACUGACAUUGUUGGUAGUACCAUUAGUAGAUCCAGGGAUCUUGAUUAUCUUAUUCUGUCAUGAUGCAAAGACUUUUAGUGGCAUGGAACCUCGUCUAUUACAGGUUGAUUGGCCUUGUUUGUCUUCCUGGCUUUUAUACCAAUCGAGCUAUUAUACCAUACAGAAAAUUUUAGUCUUUCCCACCAGUUAUUGUGAUUCCUUGUGUCAGAUUAUUUGCAAAGUCUAGACAUUGUUUAUAAGAAUGUUAUUUUCUGCAUUUCGGCAGAAUUGCUAUUAUGUUCCUCCCAUAGCUGCAGCUGCAAGGACUCCUGGUUAGACUCUCCCCUCCCUCCCUUCACAGGCUGGAAAUAUUUUUAUUCAUGGACCCUGAACAUUUUCUUAUGCGGAUCUUUGCCUGUAAAACUUUAGUUAAGAGCUACUUGCCUGUUAGAGAUGCCAGGUUCGUCAUGGAAUUGAUGAUCUACUCAUGCAUCUUAAUUCUUACGGUAAGUAUUGAGGAAUAAAAUAUAAGGGUAGUUUUGUCAUUGCGGUAAAAUCUAUAUUGGACUAUAUAUAAAGUCCCACAGGUUUCAUUUCAGCGGUAAGGUUAAUUCAUAAUGUAGCCGAUUAAUAAAUUCUUUCCGUUUUUCUUCGUCUCUGUUCUAUCUCUAACAUAUUGAUAAAUAAGUAUUAUGCUUGUCAACAGGUAUCAGAGCCUUCGGUUCUAACCCAAGAUUUUUAACUCUGUGUUUUCUUCCGAGGGUUAGUGUGUUGAUUGGGUGCUGCAGCUUAUAUAUUUGAUGAAUUGUCUGACCCAGGGAUUCAUUAGCUGGUAACAUCUCUUAUUCAUCCGAAGUUUGCAAAGUUACAUAAUGAGUUAUCUUAGGAAUUUGUGCCCUAGUUGAAGAAGUUAUGGUUUGAGUUGUGAAAAUUAUAUGAGCUUUGUGAUAACAGAUAAGGUGUUUGACAGAAUUCCUAAAAGAAAUAAUGUUUCAUUGAGUUGUUUA
RNA transcript from Daucus carota subsp. sativus, 3008 nucleotides. It is a transcript of the gene named plant-specific TFIIB-related protein PTF2, with no coding region annotated. The record is from RefSeq and is a predicted model, not a curated record. NCBI's taxonomy places the organism in Eukaryota, Viridiplantae, Streptophyta, Magnoliopsida, Apiales, Apiaceae. The transcript has 2 exons.